RNAcentral lists this ribosomal RNA (421 nucleotides) under Fusobacteriota bacterium. Its description in RNAcentral is "Fusobacteria bacterium partial 16S ribosomal RNA". It matches the Rfam family "Bacterial small subunit ribosomal RNA", at positions 355 to 776 of the family's 1533-position model. The record is from RNAcentral. Lineage: Bacteria; Fusobacteriati; Fusobacteriota.
UGGGGAAUUUUGCACAAUGGGGGGAACCUUGAUGCAGCGACGCCGCGUGAGGGAUGGAGGCCUUCGGGUUGUGAACCUCUUUCGCUCGUGUGCAAGCCGCUAUUUGGGUAGUGGUGAGUGUAGCGGGUAAAGAAGCGCCGGCUAACUACGUGCCAGCAGCCGCGGUAAUACGUAGGGCGCGAGCGUUGUCCGGAUUUAUUGGGCGUAAAGGGCUUGUAGGCGGUUUGUCGCGCCUGUCGUGUAAUCCUCUGGCUUAACUGGGGGUGUGCGGUGGGUACGGGCAGGCUUGAGUGCGGUAGGGGAGAUUGGAAUUCCUGGUGUAGCGGUGGAAUGCGCAGAUAUCAGGAGGAACGCCGGUGGCGAAGGCGGGUCUCUGGGCCGUUACUGACGCUGAGGAGCGAAAGCGUGGGGAGCGAACAGG